RNAcentral lists this long non-coding RNA (673 nucleotides) under Mytilus galloprovincialis (Mediterranean mussel). Lineage: Eukaryota; Metazoa; Mollusca; Bivalvia; Mytilida; Mytilidae. The record is from RNAcentral.
ACCUUGAUAUGUUUGUUUUCAAGAAUACUACUUUCUACAUAAGAAAAUGCCUGUACCUAGUUAGGAAUAUGACAGUACUAGUUGUUAUCCAUUCGUUGGUGUGUUUGAACUUUUGAUUUUGCCAUUGAUUAGGGACUUUCCAUUUUGAAUUUUCCUCGGAGUUAAGUAUUUUUAUGCUUUAACUUUUUGUAUUUUAGACCACUUUUGAAACAUGUAAAGUACCUAAGAUGAACAGAAACAUAAAUUAUUAUUUGGAUACACAUUUAUUCUGGCUACAUAAAUGGACAUUCAAAUAAAUGUUAUAAAUGAUGCUUUGGUAGUACGGAAAAUAUAUACCCACAAAAUUUUAUUAUUCUUCAAAGGUAUGGUCUUACAAAUAAUGUGGGAAAAGUAAACAAUUACUGCUCCGUGUUAAAACAAUAUUUUGACCUUUGAAAAGAUUUUUCUUUUACAAAUUGAGACUGGAUGGAGAGUUGUCUUAUUGGCACUUAUACCACAUCUUCUUAUAUCUAUAAAUUCAGUAUAGCAUUAGGGAAGACCCCUUUUCUCUAUCCUAUUCACAUAUGAUCUCCUUUUUGAUGGCUCUUAGAACCACUACUUAAAUUAAGCGACACAAAAUAGGCUUUUAUGUACUUCCUCUUCAGACCUAUUUAACAUCAACAUUAAAUACAAC